This 465-nucleotide ribosomal RNA is filed under the name uncultured bacterium. RNAcentral's name for it is "partial 16S ribosomal RNA". It matches the Rfam family "Bacterial small subunit ribosomal RNA", at positions 28 to 507 of the family's 1533-position model. The record is from RNAcentral.
GACGAACGCUGGCGGCGUGCUUAACACAUGCAAGUCGAACGCUGAACCCGCUUCGGUGGGGGUUGAGUGGCGGACGGGUGCGUAACACGAGGGCAUCCUGCCCCCGGCUCUGGGAUAGCUCCAAGAAAUUGGGGCGAAUACCGGAUGUGACCGCUGGCCGCAUGGUCUGGUGGUGGAAAGGGUUUCCGGCUGGGGUUGGGCCCGCGGCCUAUCCGCUUGUUGGUGGGGUAGUGGCCUACCAAGGCGACGACGGGUAGCCGGCCUGGGAGGGGGACCGGCCACACUGGGACUAGGGCAGGGCCCAGACGCCAACGGGAGGCAGCGGUGGGAAGAAUGCCGCAAUGGGCGGAGGCCGGACGCAACGACGCCGCGUGGGGAAUGCCGGCUUUCGGGUUGUAAACCGCUUUCAGCGGGAACGAACCGCAAGUGACGGUACCUGCAGAAGAAGCACCGGCUAACUACGUG